GGGGAUGUUUUUGGUUUCGACGGGGGUGUGGAAGCCGGAUAAGCGAGCCGUAGUCGCCAAGUCUACGUUAAAAGUGGCCGUUUAAAUACAAACGCUAAAAAGAAUAAUAAUUUCGCACCUAUGGCUAUGGCUGCGUAGUCAGUCAUAAGCUGUGCGUGUCAGCUUCGGUUUACCUGUAGGCCGGAUGUCUGGCAUCGAUUAUACAGGAAAACCUUGCGAGAGUUCCCGGUAUCGUAAGGGAAUAACGGGAUAGCUGAUCGUAAAGCCUGCUUUUGGGCGAUGCGAGAAGUGAAAUAAUAAAACAAAAGCUUCGCUCGGAGAAAAUCCGGUGGAAAUGCUUUCGGACACGGGUUCCAAACCCCG
This 363-nucleotide transfer-messenger RNA is filed under the name human gut metagenome. It matches the Rfam family "transfer-messenger RNA". From Rfam's summary of the family: Bacterial tmRNA, also known as 10Sa RNA or SsrA, is named for its dual tRNA and mRNA-like properties. The record is from RNAcentral.